CAAUAAACGAUGAAGGGAAUUAGUAACGGUCGAAAGGACUUGUGCAGAGAGCAGGCGGUUGGUGCAAGCCUAGCAGUCCCCGGCGGUGAAUUACCUCCCAGAGUUUCUUCUGCGAACGAUACGAUCGAGUAGUGGGAGACGGCCGCAACCGUUAUGCGACAAUUAAGUGAUUGUUUGAUGUAUGAGCAGUCAACGAGGAUGGUACCGUGCGAUCAGCACUCCUUAU
Molecule: non-coding RNA, 226 nt
Filed under: Sporolactobacillus inulinus
Lineage: Bacteria; Bacillati; Bacillota; Bacilli; Caryophanales; Sporolactobacillaceae
Description: T-box sequence
Rfam family: T-box leader
About the family: Uncharged tRNA acts as the effector for transcription antitermination of genes in the T-box leader family. T-boxes are found upstream of many aminoacyl-tRNA synthetase genes and some amino acid biosynthetic genes usually in Gram-positive bacteria. The anticodon of a specific tRNA base pairs to a specifier sequence within the T-box motif, and the NCCA acceptor tail of the tRNA base pairs to a conserved bulge in the T-box antiterminator hairpin.
Source: RNAcentral